AUUGAACGCUGGCGGCAUGCCUUACACAUGCAAGUCGAACGGCAGCACGGGAGCAAUCCUGGUGGCGAGUGGCGAACGGGUGAGUAAUAUAUCGGAACGUGCCCGGUCGUGGGGGAUAACGUAGCGAAAGCUACGCUAAUACCGCAUACGAUCUACGGAUGAAAGCGGGGGAUCGCAAGACCUCGCGCGAUUGGAGCGGCCGAUAUCAGAUUAGGUAGUUGGUGAGGUAAAGGCUCACCAAGCCGACGAUCUGUAGCUGGUCUGAGAGGACGACCAGCCACACUGGGACUGGGACACGGCCCAGACUCCUACGGGAGGCAGCAGUGGGGGAAUUUUGGACAAUGGGCGCAAGACCUGAUCCAGCAAUGCCGCGUGCAGGAUGAAGGCCUUCGGU
Molecule: ribosomal RNA, 394 nt
Filed under: uncultured bacterium
Lineage: Bacteria
Description: bacterial SSU rRNA
Rfam family: Bacterial small subunit ribosomal RNA
Source: RNAcentral